UACGUAGGGGGCAAGCGUUGUCCGGAUUUAUUGGGCGUAAAGAGCGUGUAGGCGGCUUUGCAAGUCCGUUGUGAAAACUCGAGGCUCAACCUCGAGACGCCGGUGGAAACUGCAAAGCUAGAGUCCGGAAGAGGAGAGUGGAAUUCCUGGUGUAGCGGUGAAAUGCGCAGAUAUCUGGAGGAAUACCGGUGGCGAAGGCGGCAUCCUGGACCGACAUUGACGCUGAGGAGCGAAAGCUAGGGGAGCAAACGGG
RNAcentral lists this ribosomal RNA (253 nucleotides) under uncultured bacterium. RNAcentral's name for it is "partial 16S ribosomal RNA". It matches the Rfam family "Bacterial small subunit ribosomal RNA", at positions 524 to 776 of the family's 1533-position model. The record is from RNAcentral.